CGAUUAGGUUGAGUCUGCUCGAGAUUGAAUCAGUAAUUAUAGGAUCAAAUCAAUUAACUUGCAUGUAUUAAAAAUCUUAACCUAUAAUCUGGUCUUGGGUCAGUGGCUCAAGCCUUAAUUACUUAGGUUAACCUAAUUUGAAAUUGGUCGGGGUCAGUUAAUGUCUAAGAUAAGUAAUUAAGUGAUGGUUAGUUAAUUAGGACCGUUGUCAUUGGCAGCGGGGUGCCUCCCAUCAAUCUCUUACUUUCCUAGCCAACUG
RNAcentral lists this long non-coding RNA (259 nucleotides) under Elaeis guineensis (African oil palm). Its description in RNAcentral is "long non-coding RNA (EGUI_LNC052062)". The record is from RNAcentral. Lineage: Eukaryota; Viridiplantae; Streptophyta; Magnoliopsida; Arecales; Arecaceae.